This 492-nucleotide ribosomal RNA is filed under the name uncultured bacterium. RNAcentral describes it as "partial 16S ribosomal RNA". It matches the Rfam family "Bacterial small subunit ribosomal RNA", at positions 29 to 507 of the family's 1533-position model. The record is from RNAcentral.
AGUGAACGCUGGCGGUAGGCCUAACACAUGCAAGUCGAACGGCAGCACAGUAAGAGCUUGCUCUUACGGGUGGCGAGUGGCGGACGGGUGAGGAAUACAUCGGAAUCUACUUUUUCGUGGGGGAUAACGUAGGGAAACUUACGAUAAUACCGCAUACGACCUACGGGUGAAAGCAGGGGAUCUUCGGACCUUGCGCGAUUGAAUGAGCCGAUGUCGGAUUAGCUAGUUGGCGGGGUAAAGGCCCACCAAGGCGACGAUCCGUAGCUGGUCUGAGAGGAUGAUCAGCCACACUGGAACUGAGACACGGUCCAGACUCCUACGGGAGGCAGCAGUGGGGAAUAUUGGACAGUGGGCGCAAGCCUGAUCCAGCCAUACCGCGUGGGUGAAGAAGGCCUUCGGGUUGUAAAGCCCUUUUGUUGGGAAAGAAAAGCAGCAGGUUAAUACCCCGCUGUUCUGACGGUACCCAAAGAAUAAGCACCGGCUAACUUCGUG